This 253-nucleotide ribosomal RNA is filed under the name uncultured bacterium. RNAcentral's name for it is "partial 16S ribosomal RNA". It matches the Rfam family "Bacterial small subunit ribosomal RNA", at positions 524 to 776 of the family's 1533-position model. The record is from RNAcentral.
UACGGAGGGUGCAAGCGUUAUCCGGAUUCACUGGGUUUAAAGGGUGCGUAGGCGGACAGGUAAGUCAGUGGUGAAAUCCAACGGCUCAACUGUUGAUGUGCCAAUGAUACUGACAGGCUUGAGUACAGACGAGGUAGGCGGAAUUGACAGUGUAGCGGUGAAAUGCAUAGAUAUUGGGAAGAACACCGAUAGCGAAGGCAGCUUGCUAGCCUGUAACUGACGCUGAGGCACGAAAGUGUGGGGAGCAAACAGG